Non-coding RNA from Betaproteobacteria bacterium, 54 nucleotides. The record is from Rfam. NCBI's taxonomy places the organism in Bacteria, Pseudomonadati, Pseudomonadota, Betaproteobacteria.
UGGGGCUUUGGCAGACGCCCCGCCUUCAAAGACGGUCACCCGUCCAAGCGCUGC